RNAcentral lists this ribosomal RNA (429 nucleotides) under Chloroflexota bacterium. RNAcentral's name for it is "Chloroflexi bacterium partial 16S ribosomal RNA". It matches the Rfam family "Bacterial small subunit ribosomal RNA", at positions 355 to 776 of the family's 1533-position model. The record is from RNAcentral. Lineage: Bacteria; Bacillati; Chloroflexota.
UGGGGAAUAUUGCACAAUGGGCGCAAGCCUGAUGCAGCCAUGCCGCGUGUAUGAAGAAGGCCUUCGGGUUGUAAAGUACUUUCAGUCGGGAGGAAGGUGGUAAGGUUAAUAACCUUAUCAAUUGACGUUACCGACAGAAGAAGCACCGGCUAACUCCGUGCCAGCAGCCGCGGUAAUACGGAGGGUGCAAGCGUUAAUCGGAAUUACUGGGCGUAAAGCGCACGCAGGCGGUUGAUUGAGUCAGAUGUGAAAUCCCCGGGCUUAACCCGGGAAUUGCAUCUGAUACUGGUCAGCUAGAGUCUUGUAGACGGGGGUAGAAUUCCAUGUGUAGCGGUGAAAUGCGUAGAGAUGUGGAGGAAUACCGGUGGCGAAGGCGGCCCCCUGGACAAAGACUGACGCUCAGGUGCGAAAGCGUGGGGAGCAAACAGG